CUACGGGGUGCAGCAGUGGGGAAUUUUGGACAAUGGGCGCAAGCCUGAUCCAGCCAUUCCGCGUGAGUGAAGAAGGCCUUCGGGUUGUAAAGCUCUUUCGCAAGGGAAGAAAACUUAUCCUCUAACAUAGGGUGAGGUUGACGGUACCUUGAUAAGAAGCACCGGCUAACUCCGUGCCAGCAGCCGCGGUAAUACGGAGGGUGCAAGCGUUGUUCGGAUUUACUGGGCGUAAAGGGCACGUAGGCGGCACAGCAAGUUAAGGGUGAAAUCCCGGGGCUCAACUCCGGAACUGCUCUUAAACUGCUGAGCUAGAGAUAGUCAGAGGCGGGUGGAAUUCCAGGUGUAGAGGUGAAAUUCGUAGAUAUCUGGAGGAACACCGGUGGCGAAGGCGGCCCGCUGGGGCUAUUCUGACGCUAAGGUGCGAAAGCGUGGGGAGCAAACGGGAUUAGAUACCCGCGUAGUC
Molecule: ribosomal RNA, 463 nt
Filed under: uncultured bacterium
Lineage: Bacteria
Description: partial 16S ribosomal RNA
Rfam family: Bacterial small subunit ribosomal RNA
Source: RNAcentral